Long non-coding RNA from Homo sapiens (human), 4143 nucleotides. RefSeq annotates it as long independently transcribed non-coding RNA 2248. NCBI's taxonomy places the organism in Eukaryota, Metazoa, Chordata, Mammalia, Primates, Hominidae. The record is from RefSeq and is a predicted model, not a curated record. The transcript has 5 exons.
AUACCUGUAAGAUUUACAUUGGUUCGAUCUGGAAGGAUGGGACAACUCAAAGCAAGCAGGGUUCCAGGUCAUAGAAAGAAAUGUCUGGAUUAUGAUAAGGGGUUGUGGAGAACAAGGUUUUAUCAUGCAGAUGAAGCCUUUAAGUAGCAGGCUUCAAAGGUAAUAGAUUGUAAAUGCUGGUUGAAUUUUCCUGAAUUCCAAAAGGGAGGAUGGUAUAAUGAGAUAUGUUCAAACCUGCUUCCCAUCAUGGCCUGAACUACUCUUUCAGGUUAACUUUGCAAUGCCCUCGGCCAAAAGGAGAGGUCCUUUCAGAUAACUGAGAGGCCUUAGAAUGUUAUUUCUGGUUUACAGUGUUAUCAGUUUGGAAACUGCAUCUCAAGCAUGGACCACAGGUGCUCUCUCUUUGAAGAGGGGGAAGGACAGGUUGGGUUUUUUACCUCACAGGUCCUGAAUCACACAAUAGAGAGAGACAAACGUCUUCAGGAGGUUUGGGGAAAAGCUGUACCUAUUCCCGAGGGGAGCCAAGCACAUUCACAAUGGGUAAACAUAUAUGUAACAUACGUCCCAUGCUCACUUUGGGGUGGGUGUUAGCAUUAAAGUGAGGUGGAAUUUGGGUCUUUAUUUCAAAAGGGGUGAACUAUAGACACAAAGACAGUUUGUAUGCAGUCUCUAGAAGCUGCUGAAACUGGCUUAAGAUCUGCAGUCGCUUAUCAGGAAAGAGCAUCAGUGAGGCCAGUCCUCUGUCCAUUCAGAGCUGCAGUGACCUGGGUUGUAAAUCAGGGUUAAGAGGGAUCUGAUCAUUUGCCUGCUAGCUCCCAUUCUUAGAGAAUUUAACAAAAGUGUGGGUUUCUUGUAGCCAUAGGAAUUUAGGAAGAUGCCAUGCCAGCCAAGCUGAACCCUCCAGCCAUCAUUAACUUUUGUUUCCUUAACCUUAGUGUCCAUCAUGGUUGAUGAAGGGGAGUCUGUUUUGGUCUCUCAGAUCACAGUUCUUACUGAGUUUCCAUAGGUUUCAUUGAAUAAAUGGUUCUCAGCUUGCUAUAUAUAGUUGUCAAUUAGUUAUAAUCCCUUGAUUAGACCCCCAAUGAUGUUGAAUGAUGUAUAUGCUAAUCUUACCAACUUAAUAUAUGUUUCUCCAUGGGAGAAGUUUCCCUGAGCCCCGCAUACCAUAAUUGUUGACUGCAUUUUGUCUUUAUUAUGAUUUCCUUAUGGCACCUUUUAAUAGAGUAAGAUUAAUAAAAGCCAGAAGCAUUUGCAAUAACAUUUUUAAUGUUACUAUAUAAAGCCUUUAUCUCAUCCAUCUGGGCCACUGCUUCUGGCAUUUACUUUCCUAAAUUGUUACAAUUUCCCCCAAUCCAACACACAAACCCACAUCAACUCCUGAUAUUUGUAAGCCCUUGUGUUGUAUUCCCUGUGUAAUUUGAAUCUUCUCCUGCUCCAGCUGUGUCUUGUCUCUACUUGGGGUACAAUUAAUAGCAGAGCCAGUCAUGUCCUACCAGCAUUCCUUUUAUACAGGCUGGAUAUAUGUGUCAUUGACUAACAACAUCAACAAUGAAAUGAAUCUGAGAAAACAGGAAAUUGAGAGCAAGAGAAAAAAAAGUUAAUUAUACUGAUUUUGUAUAAGACCCCUUUGAACACAUUUUUAAAAAAUCAAAUAGAAGGUGCCCAGGUCCACUGUGCCUUGUGAAUAUUUGUCUUGUAUAUCCUAGAGAUCUACGCAUUCAUGUGGGAAUUGAAAAGGACCCACAUUUUACUAGAAGCAUCGUUCAUUUUUGCCUCAAAACAAUGCCCACAUGUCAGAAGAACUUUCACAAUUCACAGGAACAGUGACCUAAUUAACCAACCAUAAAAUUGCCAAAUCCCUACUUCUCAUUGUUUAAUAUGCUUAGAAAACCCAUUCAAAUUGUGAAUUAUCAAGUGAGCUUACACUGAUAAAUAGAUCCAAUAUUUAGGAAUUUUUAAAUCUUCCAUUCCUUUUUUUUUUUUGUCUUUUUAAAAAUAGAACAUUAGAAUAUGUCCUCCAGGUUUUAGAGAUGGGGGAGACAUGCUUCCCUUUAUUUCUCAGUAACUCAGCCAAAAAAAAUCUGGAGAGAAUGCAAAGACAGCUACUGGAAACUUUGAAAAGUAGAUGUGAGCCCAUCAGGGAAGAGCUAGAGAAUCUGAAAUCUACUCGAAAAAGUGAGUUUGAUACUUUGUGUUCCUAUCCUAACUCCACACAGCCUGAAACUUGGAAGUGAGCAUGAUGGAGUGGAUACAGUGAGAUGCAGAAGAAAUCCUCCAGUUUGGGCUGGAAGGGAAAAAAGAGACCCCUAAAACUCAGAGACAGUGGAAGAAAUUCCUGGUGUUUUUUUCUUCUCUUUUUCUCUGUUCUUCCACAUAGCAAUUUAGUAUUGACUACAGCAUCUCUGUUACAAUGAUAGCACCGAAAUGUUGUAACCAUAUGGCCUGCAAAGCCAAAAAUACUUAUCUGACCAUCUACAGGAAAAGUUUGCUGAUCUGGAUGAAAUAUUCUGAUACUAAAUAUUCCAUUUUGAGGCUGAUAUUCCUAAUCUAUUCAUAAGGAUGGCAUAUCUACCCAGUGGGCCUGCUGGGACUCCAGUUACCCGAUGCACAUACAUUGCUUGGUGGUCAGUAAAUAUUAUUUUGCUUUCUUUAUUCCUUUGUGGAAAAAUUUCAGGUAGAGAAGAAACCUGAAAUAAUUUGAAGAACUUUAAAAUUUUUUUCACCCACUAAUUUAUAUUCUCAUUAGCAAAAAGAACCGAAUAUUGGUAGCUCUAUACUUUAUAAUAAAGAUGUGGAACUUCUUGAUUACUCUUUCCUUCUUCUACGUUGACUCAUUCUAUCACUAUUAAUUCACUCAGGAAAUGCUGAUUGAGCAGCUCCUUUGUAUAGAUGUUAAUAGCACGGUUCUCGCCAUAGGUCACAGAGGUUGGUUUGCUGAGCAACUCUGAGAACCCGUUUUUAAGUUCCCUGACUCUCCUAUUCACUGGAAUGGAAUGCCUUGCUGUCUGGGCCCUCCUUGCUUCACCUUCCAAUGAACUGAAAUCAUCACACUGAUCCUAUUGUAGCGGAGAGUGGUGUGUUAAAACCAUAACCAUAACCCCGUCUGGAGACCAGCCUCAGCUCUGUCGCUUUCUUAUCUCUUCAGAUGCAGCAGAUAGUUACCUCUAACUUUUAGUUUGCCUCAGACAUUAAGAAUAAAAUCAUAUUCAGCAUAAUUUAGGUGUCAUUCUCCACAUUCCACUGGUGCUAACAAACAUUUUUGUAUUGUUCCCAUGUGUCAACAAUAGCAAUCUGUGGCUCAUUAUAAGUGACAGCAAAUGUCAACAAGCCUGCCUCCUGGAGAUUUGUUUGUAAAGAUUCCUUAUCAGUUGUUGUUAUUUAUACCCCUGGCUUCUAUCGUCAUUGAUUAUUCUAUAUAUUUUCCUCCUUCAAGUGAAUGUACAAAGAGACCAAGAAAACCUCAGUCAAACUUGGAAAUUUCCUUUGUAAUAUUCUUUUUAAAGUUAGUUAUGUGGCAGUUUCGUGUGCAUUUUUGGUGAUGAUGCUCCACGGAACAUCUGCAGAUGUGCUGUCAAUUUGGACAGCUCUGACUACCGAGUGAAUGGGAAGUACUAACGAGAACUGUCUGCUUGGGAACUCCAUGAAGUUCGUGGCUUUUGUGAUUGAAAUAGCAUCAAUAAAAGGUUGACACUGUGGAACAACACAAGCCUGCAUGGACCUGGUUAUCUCUGACCUCGCACCACUCAUGAGACCAUACCUGAGCCCUACUCCACUUUGGCAGAACUGUUGCAUGGCCUCUCUUCAUAUAAUACCUCUCCGUACACCGUACACCGCAGCUCAAAGAAAGGAUAUAUGCUCCCUGUGAAGACUAAUGGAACUGUCCCUCCUGAUCCUCCUACAGACUUCCUCUGGCCUAAUGGGUGCACCAUUGCAUUAUAUCUGCCAUCUAUACACACAUAUACCUUUCAACCCUGCACUCUCUGAGAUGACUGGACUCAUGCCUAAAUAACUGAUGCUGUCCCUAGUGUAAGGUAAGCACUCAAUAGUUUCUCAGGAAAUGAAUAUGAUAAAUAUUUUGGCUGUUUAGAGGCUUUCCUUCACUUCAUUUUCUGUGUCCUCUUAUUUAAAAAGAAGUGCUCACUA